CACACAUGAGUGUAUGAACAAUGGUGAAAUCUGAAUAAGUCACAGCCAGUGGGGAAAGAUAUGGACUGGGUUUGCAUGAAGAAUGGGACUCCUGCACACUGUUGGUGUCUGAAGAGGUGGGACCAGUGUGCCCAUGCCGGCAGAGACACGAGGCACCGGGAUGUGACAUCCUCCUCUGUACAGUUCAUCACUGGCCUGUGGACUUCUCAAAGUUUGAGCUGCAUCUCAUUCAUCUCUUCAUCCCAAGAGUCAAGUUCCAGAGCCUGGCAUAACACGCCAGGGAUCAAGAAGUAA
This is a long non-coding RNA of Eptesicus fuscus (big brown bat), 294 nucleotides long. RefSeq lists it as uncharacterized. The record is from RefSeq and is a predicted model, not a curated record. Lineage: Eukaryota; Metazoa; Chordata; Mammalia; Chiroptera; Vespertilionidae. The transcript is spliced from 3 exons.